CCUACGGGUGGCAGCAGUGGGGAAUAUUGGACAAUGGGCGCAAGCCUGAUCCAGCAAUACCGCGUGUGUGAAGAAGGCCUUAGGGUUGUAAAGCACUUUCAAUGGGGAGGAAAACCUACCGGUCAAUACCCGGUAGCUUGACAUUACCUGUAGAAGAAGCACCGGCUAACUCCGUGCCAGCAGCCGCGGUAAUACGGAGCGUGCAAGCGUGGAUCGGAGUUACUGGGGGUGAAGCGUUAAUAGGCGGGUGAAAGCCCCGGGCUUAACCUGGGAACUGCAUUUGAAACUGGCGGACUAGAGUUGAGUAGAGGGGAGUGGAAUUUCAGGUGUAGCGGUGAAAUGCGUAGAUAUCUGAAGGAACACCAGUGGCGAAGGCGACUCCCUGGACUCAAACUGACGCUGAGGUACGAAAGCGUGGGUAGCAAACAGGAUUAGAUACCCUUGUAGUC
This 449-nucleotide ribosomal RNA is filed under the name uncultured bacterium. RNAcentral describes it as "partial 16S ribosomal RNA". It matches the Rfam family "Bacterial small subunit ribosomal RNA", at positions 338 to 795 of the family's 1533-position model. The record is from RNAcentral.